Molecule: ribosomal RNA, 412 nt
Filed under: uncultured soil bacterium
Lineage: Bacteria
Description: bacterial SSU rRNA
Rfam family: Bacterial small subunit ribosomal RNA
Source: RNAcentral
AGAACGAACGCUGGCGGCAGGCCUAACACAUGCAAGUCGAACGCUCGUAGCAAUACGGGAGUGGCGCACGGGUGAGUAACGCGUGGGCACCUGCCCGGUGGUUUGGGAUAACCGUGGGAAACUGCGGCUAAUACCGGAUACGCCCCUAGGGGGAAAGAUUUAUCGCCAUCGGAUGGGCCCGCGUAGGAUUAGCUAGUUGGUGAGGUAACGGCUCACCAAGGCUACGAUCCUUAGCUGGUCUGAGAGGAUGAUCAGCCACACUGGGACUGAGACACGGCCAGACUCCUACGGGAGGCAGCAGUGGGGAAUAUUGGACAAGUGGGGACAACCCUGAUCCAGCCAUGCCGCGUGAGUGAAGAAGGUCCUUGGUUAGUAAGCGUCGUUUGGCGGGACGAGUGAGUGACGGUACCCG